Non-coding RNA from Struthio camelus australis, 4138 nucleotides. The record is from RefSeq and is a predicted model, not a curated record. Lineage: Eukaryota; Metazoa; Chordata; Aves; Struthioniformes; Struthionidae.
GAGCGCACGCCGACGAGAUAAGCCGCAUGGGAAAUAGGGAAGACGGUGACACCUGGGACAUCGCUCCUGCCUGGGGGGGACCCCACAGCCCUGCUCUGCUCCUAGAGCCAAUGCUGAGAACCAGGGCUGAAGGCCAGAAACAGAAAACAGCCAAGGGAUAGCUUCUGAGGAGGCAGCUCCCUGUUUGGGAGGGAGCGCAAGAAAAGCCCACUGAGAUGGGCACCCACAACGGUACCCAAAGAAGUUGUGCCUGCCUCCCCAGCAACAAGGAAAGAAGCUCCUUUCAGUCAGACCAAUACGUGUAUAGCCUGCUGUUUUAAAUCCCUUUCACUUCAAAUACUUGCAAGUAUGCUGUUGAAAAAAGUAAAGAUUUGGUUUUAAGCAGUUUGUCUCUCAGGAUGCCCCAGCACUCAAGGUCUCUUGUCAAGAAGAGCUGUGGAUAGCAAGUCCGGCCAGGUAAGCUAAGAAUUUACCUGAGGGAUCAUCCGCAAAGUAGAAAAGAGUCCCAUUUCAGGAGAAAUGAAGGCAUUUAUAGCCUGAUACUUCAAGUGGUGCCGGAAAAACUGGCAGGGAUCAGCUCCUAGUAGCUGAUCCAGUAACCAUUUGUUCAGAAUGGUAUUUAACCAGAACAAAACAAAAAGUACUUUUAAGUUCCUUUCUCUUUCUCUUCUCUUUUUCUUUUAAUCCCUUGUGAGCUUCGGCAGUGUAACGACAUGAAAUACUUCAACACUGAUUGGCACGUUUCUGUAUUGAUUGGCUUCGCAGUCUGAUUCGAUAAGACAGGGCCAGCUAACACAAGCCACUAGAAAAAUCUUUUGGAGUAUUAUCUGCUGAGAUAAACUUGCAAAACCCCCAAGCCAGUCUAUUUAAUACGGCUUUCAUCUAGACAUAUUUUGAUAUUAGUGACAGUAUUGUGCACAAACAAAACCUGGGACACUAACAAAAGUGUUUUGUAAAAAGUGUGAUUACAGUCCUACGCAGAUAAAGAAGGCAGAGAGCCUGGACUUUAAAUCCAGAAGUAAGCUAAUGGAGGACUGACUUUAGCACUUGCCAUUCCUUACAUGUAACUCAAAUUCUCCUCCUGCCCCCCAAAAACAAAGAGGAAACUCUAGGCUAUUCUUGUUACCUUACACCACAUCACAUUAACGGUGUUACGCAUUACCGUUCCUCUUCGGAGGAGCAGCUUGAUAUGGGACACUCCUCCUUUUUACUUCAUCUUGUUGUUUUUCAGCUAUUGUACUGGAUCUGCCCAAAGUCCUCUCUCAGUUUUUACACAGUCUUUUUGGAAGUGAAAAUCUUGCUGACUCAGUAGGAGUUUUGGCCGAUUAAAACCCAAGCAAGGGAGGCAGGGCAAAGCCCAGUGUAUAUACUGCAACUUCUACCUUUUUAAUCCUGCUUUCAGCCCUGCAGUUCCAAAUUUCUGUGUUUUCCAUAGGAUGGAAAUAGCUGUUAUUGGAAGUGAUUUGGGGGCAUAUAGGACAUGAAGGGAACAUCCUGGGAUACCUGAUCUGUUGGGAGCUACAAGCUGUACAGCAUUCAUUUAAGGCAGACAUCCAGGAGAGAAUCUGGGCCAGUCCUAAGCUCAUGUAUCAACCUGAAAUAACUAAUAAGUCUAAAGAGGAAAGAAGCAGUUUGAACGAGCUGAGCACUCUAAAUUUCCUCAGCAGAGUUCACCUGGGAAAGGCAAGAAAUAUCCCUCACCCUGCUCAGACUCACACUGACAGCAGAGUAAGCCACGGGGAUGUGCCUGUAUACCAGACUAGGCAAGGGAUUUCCAGAGCGGUUACCUGUUUUAACACGAACAUUGCAGUGUGUAUUGUUAUCGUAUUUUGCUCUGUUACAGUCAUUUAUUGGGGGAGGAGGCGGAAGGCUAUUGAAUACCAGUCUCAGGAGGUGUUUCAAAGCAUCUGGCUUACACGCACACACACACAAACGUUGUCUAUCCACCCUUCUGUUCAGGCUUCUACCUAAGGAAGGGUUUAUUUUCUGAGAAGGCAACUGUUCCUUUACAGUGAUGAAAAAGGGCAAAUUAUUAGGUGUACAAGGCGGGCAGAAGCUACAGUCAGUGUUUUUUUCUUUUAGGGCUGUCACCAGACCAGUUAAGGAUCUCUCACCUAGUAUCUUCAGUUAAGCAACUCUAAAUCAUCCAAGAAAAAGCUCAGAUGGUUUCAGGCAACUUUUUCUUUUGUUCAUGCUACAGCUUGCUAUAAAAACAAAGUUUUCUGUAUACCCCACAAUCCGCUCACAAGCCCGAUGGCCCUCUUUCUGGGAUGCUGAUGUUCCCUGCAGAGCUCACACAAUAUAGUUGCUUUUUUUUUUUCCUGUAGUUGGGGUUAAGUAGCAUAUAGAUUCCUUAGACAGUAAAGCUACAGCAAAGCUGAGUGCAUUUCUACCACCUCAAAACAGGAAUCACAAGCAACAAACUGCCUGUGCAAAAGCUUCCCACACUUGGCCAGCACUGAGGUUCAGGUAGCCAAGCAGACAGGCAGAGUUUUGUUUCCAUCUGUUUCCUAACACAGCUACAAUAUACAUUCAAAGCUGCCAUUAUCUUAACAACCCGGUAAUAAAAGUUCAGCCUUCCACUCCAGUGCAAAGGCUAUCAGCUUGUUUCUGAAACUCGAAUUCACUAUAAAUCUGCCAGAGAGCUCUGCCUGGUUGUACCCCAAUGCUUAGCCUGCUUAGGAGCAGACGUCUUGCAAGAAGGGGCUGCCUAGGGAGAUUGAAGUGGGACCUUCACAGAUGAAGAUGGGAGAAGGCUGGUCUCAAGGGUGCCAAACAGCCAGUGAGGGGGCCAGACUUUAACCUCGCAUUCCCCCCUAAAGGGAAAAAUAAUGAUUCAUGUGAACUAUUUCAGACAGGUUAUCAUGUUAAAAGGAGAAAACCAAUUGGAAAUCCCAGAGAUUUGUAUCUCCACUUGGAUAUCACUUUGACUUGGAAAUAAGACCUCCUUUAUGAGACCAUGUGUAGACAAGUCACUAAGAUGAAGCUUAUCUGGGAUUUUAUCUUAAUUUUGUCUUCUCCUAUCUAGAGCACAGGCCAGUUUUUUAGGGCACACUGCCCGGACAGGGGUAAAGAAAGGAGGUAUCCAAGUGUUAAGAGGAGCUCAGAAGUCAGCAUGCGGAUUCACCCACUCAUUUUGAUGCUUUAACAGGAUCUAGGCACUUUGGAAAACCUGCAAUUGAUUGUGAGUUCUGAAUCCUUUAGAAAAAUCUGGCCUUUAAUGCUGUGUAAUUGUUGAAUGUCUUAUAAUUACCUGCAGGUUUAAAUGGUGGGUAACACACAGGCGAAGACUAAGGAUUUCCUUUGCAGCUGAACUUUGAAAGCUGCUGCAUUUUUUUCCAACGGCUUAUUUAUGUCUAAACUGCAAGGUCCAACUGGUGUCUAAAAAUCCGUCUGUUGAAGAAGCAAGACAUCACUGGAUUUUGUUUUCCUUUCAGAUCUGCAUUCUUGCCUUAAAGCAAUUAUAUUCGUUGACAUCAGAUUCAUGAGUUACUUAAUUUGGGCAUACUGGAAAAACAGAACAUAUUAGCUACUAAGUGUGCCCUUUGCAUGUGGAAAAUCAUUAAAACUUCAGAGACAUUUCAGCUCUGAUGGGAGGUGUCUUUCACUAAGUUGAAUCAAACCAUGCAUAUGAGGAAAUGUUGACAGAAUGUUGCUGAGUUGUAAAUUAUCUACAAAUGUGAAAUUGUUCUGCACUAACUGUGAUGUUGCUUAAAAUAAUAUUUACUGAUGAUUUAUCUCCUAAAGUCACAUAGAUAAUAGUUCUAUUCCUCUCCUUUCUGCUUUCUCUUUGUACAAUAAAAUAUAUUCCACGAGAACUUACGUUGUACCGGAUCUUGCCUUUUCUCAUAGUUAUCUUUUCUGUGUCUCUGUUCAUUGAUAUAUUUUAGUUCUCAUUGGUAAUAAUUAUAUUAAGAUUUCAAUAGGUUUUCUGGGUAUCUAAUAUAGCUGUCAUAUAUAUAAAAGAUGUAUGUAGUGGAGAGUAUGUAUUCUGAUUUGUAUGUGUUCUGUUUGCUACAUUCAAAUGCAGUAUUUAAAAUAGAGUACCACUGUAAAAUGCAGCUGUGUGAAAACCUGUUAUAAUAUUCCAUCUUUGCUGUUACAUUGACUUCUGGAGCUAAACUGCUUAGCUGGGAAG